This 239-nucleotide long non-coding RNA is filed under the name Lathyrus oleraceus (garden pea). RNAcentral's name for it is "Pisum sativum (pea) long non-coding RNA (PSAT_LNC003489)". The record is from RNAcentral. Lineage: Eukaryota; Viridiplantae; Streptophyta; Magnoliopsida; Fabales; Fabaceae.
AAAUGGUCCCAAAGGAUCAUGUCUCUUACAGCUGAAGAUAUUUCUUGGUAUUCUAGAAGCUACGACAAACACAAGAUCAUCCUCAAUUGUGAUAAUGUCCUAAAUAUUUCCCUCUUAUGUACAAAGCUAUUCAAGGAGUAAUUUGAUUUAAAACCAGAAUGAUUUAUUUUCCAAUAAGGGAUGAUUAGCUAUCGUGAAUAAGAAGAUGCGCAAGGAAAAUAGAUUUAGGGUUUUAUGAU